GUAAUUACGGUCAUUCCUAAUAUUCUUUCUAUCUGUGGUUUUACUAGAGAUAAAAUUUCGACAUAAGUUCCAUCAUCAUCAUCAUCAUCUCAGCCAUAGGACGUCCACUACUGAACAUAGGCCUCCCCCUUAGAUCUCCACAGACACCUGUUGGAGGCGACCUGCAUCCAGCGUCUUCCGGCGACCUUUAUAAGGUCGUCUGUCCACCUUGUUGGUAGACGUCCUACGCUGCGCUUGCUAGUCCGUGGUCUCCACUCCAGCACUUUUCGACCCCAUCGGCCAUCUGCUCUGCGAGCAAUACGGCCUGUCUAUUGCCACUUCAACUUGCUAAUCCGGUGGGCUAUAUCGGUGACUUUAGUUCGUCUACGGAUCUCCUCAUUUUGGAUUCGAUCACGUAGAGAAACACCGAGCAUAGCUCCAUACAAGUAAUGUCAAAUCCCUAUCUCUAGUAAAGAUACAGAUACAUUAGAAAAUUGAGAAUGGCCGAUAGUCGCACUUGUCGAUAUUCGAGACACAAGUAUUUAUAAGUAAUAAAUAAAUAUAAAGAAGGGAUACUAUCGAAUAUACCCAAAGACGCUUUAUGAAGCUUAAGAAUAUAUAUUUUAAUAGAUUUAAGGAAAUAAUAAUUUUAUUUACUAAUGCAGUCAUUUAUGAGACUACAAUUUUCUUUUUUUUUGUCAUAUCAAUAUGUUUUUCUGUUUCUAUAAAAGGAACUGUUAGUAAUUUGUGCCUGUUAUUAAAAAAAAACCAAAGCUGUUUGCAUUUUACGUGCAUUCAUAUUUUUAACAUUAAAUUCGCGUUUUUUACUAUUAUUUGGUUGUAAACUUGUAUACCAAAAACGACCUAAAAUUACUGGUUUAGAAUUUGACAAAACGCUGAACAAUGGAUAUAUAGUUAUUUAUUUAUAUAUAACCACAUCAUCAAGUUUUUGAUUUUUGAAUAUUUUUACUAAUACUUGUGGUGCGCUUCGUUAAUUGUGUAAGUUAUCAGAGUAUCCUGCAGCCCAGUUUAGCAUUUAAAUAUUUAUAAAACACCAAAAUAAUAUUUAUAUCAAACUUUACAUUGUAAGGAUAAACUUAAUUUAACGGUGCAUGUAAGUGUUGUUAUAGUUUUACGGGAUACCAUUACGUUUCUACGUCUGACAUUUUAUAUUAUAAGUACUUAUGAAUUUGUUGCUAUUAUUGUUUUUAUGUGUACAUGUGUAUGGUAUGUAUAGGUAGACAGUGCCUAUUACACUCGUAGAAAAAAGGAUUUACUCUCCCAGUAAAAAAAAAUAUAUGUUCCAAUUUCAAAGUUGAAAAAUAAUGAUAUUGACGUUCAAUUUCAAAGUUGAAAAAUAAUGAUAUUGAUAUGGCACUUUGAUGUUUUAAUUUUUUUUUUCCACUGUCAUAUUUUUUGUUGUAGACUACUUAUGAGGGCCAAAGUUUAAUUAAGAAAGUACACUUUCCUUUUAAGUAAUAUUUGUUUUUUUGUCUAUAUAACUGUACCGUUACCUCUUGAACAACUAAAUAAUGUACAAAUAAAACAUUAUCAUGAUACGUUCGUGCCUUUCACUAUAUUUUAAAUAUUGUUGAUAUAUAGUUAACGUUUAGAGAUGACUGUAUGUGCAAGUAUAUGAUGAAAUAUUAUUAUUAUUGUAUGUUGGUUGAAUAUAAUAAAUAUGCUGUAUAUUGUAUGUGUUGAUCUCUGUCCUUAUUGCAUUUGUCAUGGUUUAUUUUAAUUGUCACGGUUUUUUUUAUUUAAAAUGGUAAUGUGCGUAUCUUAUGGUGUUGUUUUUGGUGUAGGUUAAUGUUUUUUUUGUUUUGUUCACGAGUUUAGUCACUGAUACCAUGUUUGUGGUCCUACUGUGGCGGAUUUUCUUUCAUAAUAUUUAUGCCUGUUUUGAUUUAAAUGUUCAUGUUGUCUUUUUCGAAAUAAAUAGCAUAAAAUUGUAUGUUUAAUUGAACAGUUAAAGGGAACAGUUAUCGGUAAAAUAUUGUAUUCUUUUUUUUUAUUCUGCUCAGCCAGAGACGUCAGUGACUAAAUACGUUUAGAAUGACUUUUUUAUUUGUAAGCAAAGAGGUGUAUUGUUAUAAACGAGGUCGUACUGUGUAUGUUAUGACGAGGUAACGAGAGUUGAGUUGCGGUGGUCUGUUUUGUAUGCGAAGAAACAAUAAUAAAAUUAUACCAAAUAA
RNAcentral lists this long non-coding RNA (2174 nucleotides) under Helicoverpa zea (corn earworm). Its description in RNAcentral is "uncharacterized LOC124639684". Lineage: Eukaryota; Metazoa; Arthropoda; Insecta; Lepidoptera; Noctuidae. The record is from RNAcentral.